Molecule: ribosomal RNA, 504 nt
Filed under: uncultured Glomus
Lineage: Eukaryota; Fungi; Glomeromycota; Glomeromycetes; Glomerales; Glomeraceae
Description: SSU rRNA
Rfam family: Eukaryotic small subunit ribosomal RNA
Source: RNAcentral
AGCAGCCGCGGUAAUUCCAGCUCCAAUAGCGUAUAUUAAAGUUGUUGCAGUUAAAAAGCUCGUAGUUGAAUUUCGGGAUCAGUACGCUGGUCAUGCCUUCGGUAUGUACUGGUGUUACUGGUUCCUACCUUCUGACGAACCGUCAUGUCAUUAAUUUGGUGUGGCGGGGAAUCAGGACUGUUACUUUGAAAAAAAUUAGAGUGUUUAAAGCAGGCUCGCGCUUGAAUACAUUAGCAUGGAAUAAUGAAAUAGGACGUUCGAUCCUAUUUUGUUGGUUUCUAGGAUUGACGUAAUGAUUAAUAGGGAUAGUUGGGGGCAUUAGUAUUCAAUUGUCAGAGGUGAAAUUCUUGGAUUUAUUGAAGACUAACUACUGCGAAAGCAUUUGCCAAGGAUGUUUUCAUUAAUCAAGAACGAAAGUUAGGGGAUCGAAGACGAUCAGAUACCGUCGUAGUCUUAACCAUAAACUAUGCCGACUAGGGAUCGGAUGAUGUUAAUUUUUAAUGA